RNAcentral lists this ribosomal RNA (399 nucleotides) under uncultured bacterium. RNAcentral's name for it is "bacterial SSU rRNA". It matches the Rfam family "Bacterial small subunit ribosomal RNA", at positions 30 to 430 of the family's 1533-position model. The record is from RNAcentral.
AUUGAACGCUGGCGGCAGGCCUAACACAUGCAAGUCGAGCGGAUGAGUGGAGCUUGCUCCAUGAUUCAGCGGCGGACGGGUGAGUAAUGCCUAGGAAUCUGCCUGGUAGUGGGGGACAACGUUUCGAAAGGAACGCUAAUACCGCAUACGUCCUACGGGAGAAAGCAGGGGGACCUUCGGGCCUUGCGCUAUCAGAUGAGCCUAGGUCGGAUUAGCUAGUAGGUGAGGUAAUGGCUCACCUAGGCGACGAUCCGUAACUGGUCUGAGAGGAUGAUCAGUCACACUGGAACUGAGACACGGUCCAGACUCCUACGGAGGCAGCAGUGGGGAAUAUUGGACAAUGGGCGAAAGCCUGAUCCAGCCAUGCGCGUGUGUGAAGAAGGUCUUCGGAUUGUAAAG